This 528-nucleotide ribosomal RNA is filed under the name Beauveria bassiana. RNAcentral describes it as "eukaryotic LSU rRNA". The stretch from base 151 to 304 matches the Rfam family "5.8S ribosomal RNA". The record is from RNAcentral. Lineage: Eukaryota; Fungi; Ascomycota; Sordariomycetes; Hypocreales; Cordycipitaceae.
CUCCCUAACCCUUAUGUGAACCUACCUAUUGUUGCUUCGGCGGACUCGCCCCAGCCGGACGCGGACUGGACCAGCGGCCGCCGGGGACCCUCAAACUCUUGUAUUAUCAGCAUCUUCUGAAUACGCCGCAAGGCAAAACAAAUAAAUCAAAACUUUCAACAACGGAUCUCUUGGCUCUGGCAUCGAUGAAGAACGCAGCGAAAUGCGAUAAGUAAUGUGAAUUGCAGAAUCCAGUGAAUCAUCGAAUCUUUGAACGCACAUUGCGCCCGCCAGCAUUCUGGCGGGCAUGCCUGUUCGAGCGUCAUUUCAACCCUCGACCUCCCUUUGGGGAAGUCGGCGUUGGGGACCGGCAGCACACCGCCGGCCCUGAAAUAGAGUGGCGGCCCGUCCGCGGCGACCUCUGCGUAGUAAUCCAACUCGCACCGGAACCCCGACGCGGCCACGCCGUAAAACACCCAACUUCUGAACGUUGACCUCGAAUCAGGUAGGACUACCCGCUGAACUUAAGCAUAUCAAUAAGCGGAGGAA